Molecule: transfer RNA, 75 nt
Filed under: Felis catus (domestic cat)
Lineage: Eukaryota; Metazoa; Chordata; Mammalia; Carnivora; Felidae
Rfam family: tRNA
About the family: Transfer RNA (tRNA) molecules are approximately 80 nucleotides in length. Their secondary structure includes four short double-helical elements and three loops (D, anti-codon, and T loops).
Source: Rfam by way of RNAcentral
GGCGCUCAGUUGGUUGAGCAUCUGACUUUAGCUCAGGUCAGGAUCUUGCGGUUCAUGGGUUCAAGCCCCAUGUCA